GACAGAGGCCUCAAGCGUUAGGCGGAAUCACUGGGCUUAAAGCGUGUGUAGGCGGGUCGUUAAGUACCUUGUGAAAUCCCACGGCUCACCCGUGGAACUGCUGGGUAUACUGGCGAUCUUGGGCCAUUCAGGGGCAACUGGAACAAGCGGUGGAGCGGUGAAAUGCGUAGAUAUCGCUUGGAACGCCGAAGGUGAAAACAGGCUACUGGGGUUGUGCCGACGCUGAGACACGAAAGCCAGGGGAGCAAACGGG
This 253-nucleotide ribosomal RNA is filed under the name uncultured bacterium. RNAcentral's name for it is "partial 16S ribosomal RNA". It matches the Rfam family "Bacterial small subunit ribosomal RNA", at positions 524 to 776 of the family's 1533-position model. The record is from RNAcentral.